RNAcentral lists this transfer RNA (58 nucleotides) under Pseudomonas sp. RNAcentral describes it as "tRNA-Phe". It matches the Rfam family "tRNA", at positions 8 to 63 of the family's 71-position model. Rfam says of the family: Transfer RNA (tRNA) molecules are approximately 80 nucleotides in length. Their secondary structure includes four short double-helical elements and three loops (D, anti-codon, and T loops). Further hydrogen bonds mediate the characteristic L-shaped molecular structure. tRNAs have two regions of fundamental functional importance: the anti-codon, which is responsible for specific mRNA codon recognition, and the 3' end, to which the tRNAs corresponding amino acid is attached (by aminoacyl-tRNA synthetases). tRNAs cope with the degeneracy of the genetic code in two manners: having more than one tRNA (with a specific anti-codon) for a particular amino acid; and 'wobble' base-pairing, i.e. permitting non-standard base-pairing at the 3rd anti-codon position. Lineage: Bacteria; Pseudomonadati; Pseudomonadota; Gammaproteobacteria; Pseudomonadales; Pseudomonadaceae. The record is from RNAcentral.
UAGCUCAGUUGGUAGAGCAGGGGAUUGAAAAUCCCCGUGUCGGCGGUUCGAUUCCGUC